Molecule: ribosomal RNA, 494 nt
Filed under: uncultured bacterium
Lineage: Bacteria
Description: partial 16S ribosomal RNA
Rfam family: Bacterial small subunit ribosomal RNA
Source: RNAcentral
GACGAACGCUGGCGGCGUGCUUAACACAUGCAAGUCGAACGGUGAAGCGCCUUCCUUUUUGGUGGGUGUGGAUGAGUGGCGAACGGGUGAGUAACACGUGAGUAACCUGCCCCCUUCUUCUGGAUAACCGCAUGAAAGUGUGGCUAAUACGGGAUAUUCUGGGUCUGUCGCAUGAUGGGUCUGGGAAAGAUAUUGUUUCGGUGGGGGAUGGGCUCGCGGCCUAUCAGCUUGUUGGUGGGGUGAUGGCCUACCAAGGCGGUGACGGGUAGCCGGCCUGAGAGGGUGGACGGUCACACUGGGACUGAGACACGGCCCAGACUCCUACGGGCGGCAGCAGUGGGGAAUAUUGCACAGUGGGCGCAAGCCUGAUGCAGCGACGCCGCGUGAGGGAUGGAGGCCUUCGGGUUGUGAACCUCUUUCGCCAGUGAAGCAGGCCUGCCUCGUUUGUGGGUGGGUUGACGGUAGCUGGAUAAGAAGCGCCGGCUAACUACGUG